Molecule: long non-coding RNA, 3422 nt
Organism: Bufo bufo (common toad)
Lineage: Eukaryota; Metazoa; Chordata; Amphibia; Anura; Bufonidae
Exons: 2
Source: RefSeq, a predicted model, not a curated record
UAUUCAUUCAUAAAAAGCCGACGUCAACGACACAUCAAAUAUUUUAUUCAUUAAUGCAUCAAAUUAUUACAAAAUAACAGAAACCUUCAACUCUGAAGAAAACUAGAAAACAAAAAGAUUACAAAAAUACAGAAAAAAAUAAAUUCAGCAGAAAGGAAAAAUUACUUGCCAUUUCCUCAAAAACAUCCGUCGGCAAAACUCGGGCCUGACCCGGCAACAGAGUCGCUUUCGGAUCAGACCGUCAAAAAAACCGGAAGCUUCGGGAAAAGUCACAUAAUCCGUCCGGUCUGCGGCGGUAUAAAAAGAACGUACAAAACGUCAGCAUAGAAACGAGAGCAGGCGGAAAGGGGAGGAGUCAUCCCUACCAGCCAAUCAGAUUCCAAUGCAAGUGAUCGGCGAUCUGAUUGGCAGCUAUGGAUGGCCCCUCCCCUUUGCUCUGCACUAGUGUUUAUUUUUAAUAAAUGAGGUUGUUUUUGCGUAUUUGUUGUGUUAUGUGCUUUUAAUAAAGUUUUAUCUUACACAACUUCCUUUAUAUAUUCUUAAAGGAGCCCUCAUUUGAUACAUAGGUGGACAUUUCUGAGACACUAUUUUACUUCCUUUCACCACGCGUGGAUUUGCAUAUGCCCCGCCCCUAUUAAAGGGCCGGUUAACGGAUACAUAUUUGAUUCGCAGGGCAUGAUCGCUCGUGUUUUCUCUCACGAGUGUCCAGCUAUCAACGCAAAGCCUAAUGCAAUUGCAUAAAUAUUAGCACCCCGGCAUGGCCAUGUUGGUCAUGGCAACCAAUCAGAACCCAUUUUUACUUGGCACUGGAAAAAGUGAACCCUGAUUGGUUGUUAUGGGCAACAAGGACGCUACUUCCGAGGGGGCACAUGAGGAUGAACAUGCAAGAGAAGUUGCAAAAGUUUUCCAUCCCAAAAAUUAUAUAUAAAGACUAUUUUUUUUAAAUUAUAAUGGUAAUAUAGAUAAUACCUAUAAGAGGCUAAUAAUAGAAGUCCUUUAAUCCGGCAUCACUUGGACCUGGCGGGUGCUGAAUGAUGAAAUAUUCUGGAUUAUCAGAUGGAUAAGUAGGGCGCAUUCACAUGUAGGGGAGUUGAGCCACUGCCCUAAACUCAGGAUUUCUGGACCAUCAGAUGGCGGAGUAAAGGGUUUCAUUGUAUAUUACGGCCCAGUUCCCUCAGUUAUAGUUUAAUCUCUGUCCGGUUAACCCUUAGCCUUCUGGAUAACACAACAUGGCUGAAAAUGUCUAGUAAAAUAAUACAAUUCUAACACUGUCAAAAUAGGCAAAAUAGAAAAAUAGUGAAACUGUCUAAAUAUACAGUACAUAGAAAAAAAAAAUCUGGACCCAUCCUAUCAUUGGACGGAUCCUAUCUCUGCAUAGCAACACUUAAGUCCAUACAUUCUAACAAUGCACAAUGUAACACAUGACUUACAGUAAGAUGUGGCGGAACAUAUGGUGGAGGGCGGAGUUAACAGGUGGAAUUGUAGGCGAGUUUCUUGUGCAUGCUUACAGGGCUGGGAGGUGACUAUUAAAGGGGUUGUCCGUUUCAUAUGGCUCCUGGGGUAACUCAGGAAUCCACUCUCCAUUGGCUAAAGCUCACACUCUUCCAAAUUAAGGGACCCCUCUGUUCUACAAAGUGAAUGCAGUUUAAAAAAGACUUGUCUAACUCCUCAUGGGUGGGGCAUGACACAGGAAUGUCAUACUCCACUCCCUCAGUCCAUAUACUAGGCAUAAUAUGGGGAUCUACAAAGAGAAGUCAGUUUAAAUAAAUUUGUAUAAAUUCCUCAUGGGCAGGACAUAACACAGGCAUGGUCAUGCUCCACUCCUCAGUCCAUAUACUAAGUAUAACACAGGGUUCUACAAAGGGGAAGUGGUUUAAAUAGAUUUGUAUAAACUCCUCAUGGGUGGAGCAUGAUACAGAAAUUAUGUUAUGCUCCACCCCUUCAGUGCACAUACUAGGUAUAAUCCAAAGUGUCCCUUUAAGGGUUAUCCUACUAAGGACAUGCCAUAAAAGUGUAAUUGUCAGGGUCCAACUACUCAGACUUUCACAUAACCGCAGAGAGGGCCCCAUUACCGAUCACUUGCCAUGAUGAGAUUCUCCUAAUAUUUCCAGUGCUUAACAAACCGCCCCCGCAUUACUUAUUAUACAUCUGACGUCACCUCCCAGUUCCCUAAUCCAUGUACAUUAUUACAGACCUCACAUACUUCGACCAUAUCACGGGACGGCCCGCCCAAAAAGUUUAUAUAAAAAAAUAAAAAAAACACAAGCAGGAGAGACAAAGUUUCCCCUUCCUGAAUCUGAACUGCGCAAAAUAAAAUCAGGUCCAACCCAUUAGCAGUAAAUUUAGGGUUAAACCAUCAUAUAGCGCAGGACGUCCGGGACAACAGGCAAUCUUCUGUCUCCACUGCUGUAGGAUGCAAAAAUGUGGCACGUAGAAGAAUACAUAUUUGCAGAGUUAUUCGUGGAUGCAUAGUUUAUAGGUAUUUCCUCCCAGCAGUUCCCAUAAUGGGCUUUAAAAUAGCUUUUACCAUAUGCUCCUCCCCUCGGUGGGCACUUAAAGGGAACCUGUCCCCGGGAAAUUCACUAAUAGACUAGACAUAAUUCAUUGUAGGGCUAGCUCAGCUGAAUGUAAUGAUACCUUUCACUUAGAGAUCUGUUACUUCAUUUUGGACAAAAAGUACUUAUAAUCCAUAUGCAAAUGAGCAGUUAAUUGCCCUGAGGGCGGGCUCAAACCACUUUGUGCCUUGAACCUCCUGUCUCCCACUUCCUUUGCCAGCCCCUCCCUCACCUCGGGCUUCUACAUAGCCAUCUUGACCUGUCAAUCAAGAAGUAGGGGGAGGGGCUGGCAGAGGAAGCAGGAGGAGCUUGUGCCCGCUCCUCGGGGCACUUACCUGCUCAAUUUUCUCCAGAUUGAAGCAUCAGAUCGCUAAGUGAAAGCGAUCAUUACAUUCAGCUGAGCUAGCCCUACAAUGCAUUAUGUCUAGUCUAUUAGUGAAUUUCCCAGGGACAGGUUCCCUUUAAGGGGGUGUCCAGGAUAUUAAAAAAAAUAAUUAAAAAUACUAAAAGGAGAAAAUAGGUAAGAAUUAAAUUACCUGGUAAAUUUGCCGCUGCUCCAGUGGUCCUACCGGUCUUUGUUGACUCAUCCUGCAGUGUUGAUGUGCUGUACGUGUGACCAGUGCAUCCAAUCAAUGGCCUCAUCGGUACCAAGCCGGAGGACAACGAUUGUCUGUAGCGGUCAAGUGCAAAUGUACGCUAUGUCAUGAGUGUAGGACAAGUGAACACAGACUGGUGGGAUCACAAAUGUGGCAUCGGAUUUACCAAGUGAGUAUAGAUCUAUUCUUUAUUUUACCGAAUUCCCUACUUUUGGCAAUUGGGGAAACCCCUUCAUACAUUCAGCAGAUCCCCCCCCUUCCCCCCAAAAAA